AAGCGUACACGGUGGAUGCCCUGGCAGUCAGAGGCGAUGAAGGACGUGCUAAUCUGCGAAAAGCGUCGGUAAGGUGAUAUGAACCGUUAUAACCGGCGAUGUCCGAAUGGGGAAACCCAGUGUGAUUCGUCACACUAUCGUUAACUGAAUACAUAGGUUAACGAGGCGAACCGGGGGAACUGAAACAUCUAAGUACCCCGAGGAAAAGAAAUCAACCGAGAUUCCCCCAGUAGCGGCGAGCGAACGGGGAGCAG
RNAcentral lists this ribosomal RNA (254 nucleotides) under Klebsiella pneumoniae. Its description in RNAcentral is "partial 23S ribosomal RNA". It matches the Rfam family "Bacterial large subunit ribosomal RNA", at positions 13 to 267 of the family's 2925-position model. Lineage: Bacteria; Pseudomonadati; Pseudomonadota; Gammaproteobacteria; Enterobacterales; Enterobacteriaceae. The record is from RNAcentral.